Molecule: non-coding RNA, 73 nt
Organism: Stegodyphus mimosarum
Lineage: Eukaryota; Metazoa; Arthropoda; Arachnida; Araneae; Eresidae
Source: Rfam
GCCUUCGUGGUGUAGUGGUCAGCACACUCGGUGCGUAUUCGAGAGGUCCGUGGUUCGAGUCCAGGAGAGGGCA